AGUGGCAGCAGAAGAAGAAGAGCAAGAAAGACGCUGCGCAAGAUAAAAGGGCUAAAUUGGACCCUGAUAAU
This 71-nucleotide transfer RNA is filed under the name Candidozyma auris. RNAcentral describes it as "[Candida] auris tRNA-Gly". Lineage: Eukaryota; Fungi; Ascomycota; Pichiomycetes; Serinales; Metschnikowiaceae. The record is from RNAcentral.